UAUGUGAUCGUCUCUCGCAUAUCAAUAAGCGGAGGAAAAGAAACUAACAAGGAUUCCCCUAGUAACGGCGAGUGAAGCGGGAAGAGCUCAAAUUUGAAAUCUUAAAGGGUUUCCCUUUACGAAUUGUAGUUUAAAGAAGUGUUUUCUGUUGAGGUUUUGGUAAAAGUUCUUUGGAAUAGGACAUUAUAGAGGGUGAGAAUCCCGUAUUUGACCUUUACUUUCAACUUUGUGAUACACUUUCAAAGAGUCGGAUUGUUUGGGAAUGCAGUCCAAAAUGGGUGGUAAAUUUCAUCUAAAGCUAAAUAUUGGCGAGAGACCGAUAGGCGAACAAGUACCGUGAGGGAAAGAUGAAAAGAACUUUGAAAAGAGAGUUAAACAGUACGUGAAAUUGUCAAAAGGGAAGCGUUUGACACCAGUGUUGUUUUUCUGAAAAUCAAUUAAAGAACUGUUUAUGCUAAGUUGUUUAGACUUUAUCAGCUAACUGUUUAGUUUUGAGCUUUUCUUUAAUGCACUUUUCAGUUAACAAGUCAACAUCAAUUUCUUUUGCUGUAAAAAAGCUUGAGGAAGGUGGCUUGAGAUUCGUCUUAAGUGUUUAUAGCCUCUUGCCUAUGCAGUCGGAGAGAUUGAGGUCUGCAGCGUAGAUCCUUCGGGGCUAAAUGCAUUUGUGCUAAGUUAUAGCAUUUUAUAGACAACUUGUUGACUAUGAUUUGUCUUGUAGCUUACUCGCUUAUGUUAUUUUACCUACGCUUAGGAUGUUGACUGAUAUGUAGUCGUA
RNAcentral lists this ribosomal RNA (775 nucleotides) under uncultured Neocallimastigales. RNAcentral describes it as "partial large subunit ribosomal RNA". It matches the Rfam family "Eukaryotic large subunit ribosomal RNA", at positions 24 to 644 of the family's 3401-position model. Lineage: Eukaryota; Fungi; Neocallimastigomycota; Neocallimastigomycetes; Neocallimastigales. The record is from RNAcentral.